GCGGGCGUAGUUCAACGGUAGAACGGUAGCCUUCCAAGUUACUCACGGGAGUUCAAUUCUCCUCGCCCGCUCCA
RNAcentral lists this transfer RNA (74 nucleotides) under Candidatus Omnitrophota bacterium. Its description in RNAcentral is "Candidatus Omnitrophica bacterium (groundwater metagenome) tRNA-Gly". It matches the Rfam family "tRNA". Rfam says of the family: Transfer RNA (tRNA) molecules are approximately 80 nucleotides in length. Lineage: Bacteria; Pseudomonadati; Candidatus Omnitrophota. The record is from RNAcentral.